RNAcentral lists this ribosomal RNA (766 nucleotides) under Escherichia coli. RNAcentral describes it as "partial 23S ribosomal RNA". It matches the Rfam family "Bacterial large subunit ribosomal RNA", at positions 419 to 1187 of the family's 2925-position model. Lineage: Bacteria; Pseudomonadati; Pseudomonadota; Gammaproteobacteria; Enterobacterales; Enterobacteriaceae. The record is from RNAcentral.
GGGACACGUGGUAUCCUGUCUGAAUAUGGGGGGACCAUCCUCCAAGGCUAAAUACUCCUGACUGACCGAUAGUGAACCAGUACCGUGAGGGAAAGGCGAAAAGAACCCCGGCGAGGGGAGUGAAAAAGAACCUGAAACCGUGUACGUACAAGCAGUGGGAGCCUCUUAAUGGGGUGACUGCGUACCUUUUGUAUAAUGGGUCAGCGACUUAUAUUCUGUAGCAAGGUUAACCGAAUAGGGGAGCCGAAGGGAAACCGAGUCUUAACUGGGCGUUAAGUUGCAGGGUAUAGACCCGAAACCCGGUGAUCUAGCCAUGGGCAGGUUGAAGGUUGGGUAACACUAACUGGAGGACCGAACCGACUAAUGUUGAAAAAUUAGCGGAUGACUUGUGGCUGGGGGUGAAAGGCCAAUCAAACCGGGAGAUAGCUGGUUCUCCCCGAAAGCUAUUUAGGUAGCGCCUCGUGAAUUCAUCUCCGGGGGUAGAGCACUGUUUCGGCAAGGGGGUCAUCCCGACUUACCAACCCGAUGCAAACUGCGAAUACCGGAGAAUGUUAUCACGGGAGACACACGGCGGGUGCUAACGUCCGUCGUGAAGAGGGAAACAACCCAGACCGCCAGCUAAGGUCCCAAAGUCAUGGUUAAGUGGGAAACGAUGUGGGAAGGCCCAGACAGCCAGGAUGUUGGCUUAGAAGCAGCCAUCAUUUAAAGAAAGCGUAAUAGCUCACUGGUCGAGUCGGCCUGCGCGGAAGAUGUAACGGGGCUAAAC